UCAAUAAAUGGUAAAAGUUCGGAGGAAAAAAGGAGCCAGGAAUCGAGAGUACAUCAUGUGAAGAGCGACCCAACAGCGUUAAUAUUUGCUGAUGAAUUUAAACAGACAAUUGAGAAAUACUUAUUCGGGAUAUGUCCACAAACAUAUAAGAUGCCACUUGGCGGCAAGAAGAAUGAAACCACCUUCGCCUGCGACCUGGACACAGAUCACGAGGAACUCGCUGGAAGACUGGCAACACUCGCACUACGCGCGCAUUCAGCGUCUCGCUCCGAUUGCCUGCGACUGGGCACAGCAUUGUCC
Long non-coding RNA from Leptidea sinapis, 300 nucleotides. RefSeq lists it as uncharacterized. The record is from RefSeq and is a predicted model, not a curated record. The transcript is spliced from 4 exons. Lineage: Eukaryota; Metazoa; Arthropoda; Insecta; Lepidoptera; Pieridae.